GUGCUUGCUUCAGCACCACAUAUACUAAAAUCAAAGGAUACAGAGAAAAUCAGCAGGGCCCCCACAUAAGGAUGACAUGCAAAUUUGUGAAGUGUUCCAUAUUUCA
Artibeus jamaicensis (Jamaican fruit-eating bat) is the source of this 106-nucleotide small nuclear RNA. Lineage: Eukaryota; Metazoa; Chordata; Mammalia; Chiroptera; Phyllostomidae. The record is from RefSeq and is a predicted model, not a curated record.